RNAcentral lists this ribosomal RNA (315 nucleotides) under uncultured eukaryote. RNAcentral describes it as "partial 18S ribosomal RNA". It matches the Rfam family "Eukaryotic small subunit ribosomal RNA", at positions 1470 to 1796 of the family's 1831-position model. The record is from RNAcentral.
CCCUUAGAUGUUCUGGGCUGCACGCGCGCUACACUGACGCACGCAACAGGUGCCUGCUCCGAGAGGACUGGGUAAUCAUUUGAGUGUGCGUCGUGAUGGGGAUAGAAUAUUGUAAUUAUUACUCUUCAACGAGGAAUUCCUAGUAAGCGCCAGUCAGCAGCUUGCGCUGAUUACGUCCCAGCCCUUUGUACACACCGCCCGUCGCUCCUACCGAUGGGUGAUCCGGUGAAUGAUUCGGACUUCAGCGGCUCCCCUGGGGUGCGCCGGAGAAAGUUUUGUGAACCUUAUCACUUGGAGGAAGGAGAAGUCGUAACA